CUCUGAUUGAACCAUGUUGUAGAGUGUUGAUAACUGUAGCUCUGAUUGAACCAUGUUUAAAGUGUUAAUAACUGUCUGUUUAGGGGAAACCAGGGUACCCAGGAAGACCCACCAAUACCAAUUAGGUGAUCAUGUUGAAGAAGAGUGAGGCUGAGAUCACCUGAUCACCAUAACAACCAUCAGAAUGGAACUCAUGGAAUUCUAAUAUAGAACUGUGAGUCACAAUGCUGUAUGUUGUUACAUUGUAGCUCCACCUGAUGGAACAAUAGUGGCAUUUGAUCAAAUGUGAUCUAUUAACUGAUACAUGUAUUAUUCUGAUUGGAAUGUGUUUUAAUAUAAUGUGUGUUGUAUUAUUCAUUCAGCAGCUGUCCUUUAACAUCAGUCAUAUACUGGUCAUAUACUGUAUAGCAUUAUGGUUGAUACAUUGUAAAUGCCUUCACUUUUCAUGUCUAUACAGAUCAACUGAUAGGUGUUGUGGUUCAGGCAUUAUUGUUACAGGUUCAGUAUAAUGUUAUACCAUUACAUGUUACAGAGUUAGAAAACAUACAGGAGAGGAGAAUUCAAUUAUUAGAAUGAUUUACUUUAUUUUCCCAUUUUGUUCUCUAUAGUAGUUUAUCAUUAUUUGAUUUAAACAUGAAACCAAUGUUGGCCUUUUAUUUUAUUGUGGUAUUUUUGUGCAAAACAAUUAUUUGUCAAUUAAUCAUCCUGGUAAGAUAUUGCUUUUGUCUUUGUAGCAUAUAGAAUUAAAUAAAUGAUUUUCGUCAA
This is a non-coding RNA of Salmo salar (Atlantic salmon), 765 nucleotides long. Lineage: Eukaryota; Metazoa; Chordata; Actinopteri; Salmoniformes; Salmonidae. The record is from RefSeq and is a predicted model, not a curated record.